AAAAAAGCAAACCUUAGAUUUACGUGUCAACGUUUGACUGUUCGUUUUAUAUAAAAAAAUUUAUAAUUAGUAUUUUCAUUGUUGUCAGAUGAUAAAACAUGAUUAAUACUUUAUGCGUGACUUAUCUUUUUAAUUCUUUUCAUAAUUUUUUCAAAUAAGAUGGACGGUCAAAUGUUGGAUACGGAAAUCAAGGUUUGUCUUUUUU
Molecule: microRNA precursor, 205 nt
Organism: Oryza sativa Indica Group (long-grained rice)
Lineage: Eukaryota; Viridiplantae; Streptophyta; Magnoliopsida; Poales; Poaceae
Rfam family: MIR812 microRNA precursor family
Source: Rfam